GUAGCCGUCGAUGUCAAACUCCGAGGUUACUUCUCUUGGAAGUAGAAGUGGUGUUGGAGGAUGUAGCCUCCAUGUUUCUUUGAUCACCAUUUUCAGGUAUUUGAGCUGAUCUGUGUCAUCGAAGCUGAUUCUUUCUUUGUUCUUGAUUUGGCUUCUGAUUUCGGUUUGAAGUUUCUUCAUCACUCUAGGGUUUCUAGCAAGUUCUGACAUUGCCCAUGUCAUUGUAAUUGCAGAUGUGUCGAUUCCUCCUAGAAGAAUGUUCUUUUUACAAAGAAUAUUAAAAAACAUGUAAGAAUCUCAUACAGUAUAUUAAUUUUUAAUUUGCGAUGCUCUUAAACCUUUCUCAAACAGCGACCAGAUUACCUACCACUUUACCAGGUCAGUGGAUCAACCACAGACUAAUAUGUUGAUAAAAGAUUUUAUAUAGUAUUAGUAUAUAACUAAAUUUUUUAAUUUAUUAUGAAAAUGGCGCUUAAUAAUAGUAGUGUGAUUGAAUAUUUUAAAUUCAAAUUAAAUAAAAAUAAAAAUAGAUAACCGUUAAAUAUUAGUAAAUUAUAUAUGAUAAAAAAUAAACUAAAAAUGUAUCACGUUAGUUGAUUUUGGUAAUUUUAUAACAAUUCCACUUAUUUUCUUCAAAGAAUACAUAGUAUACAUAAACAGAGGCUAAAAAUCACAAAUAACAUAUUUUAUUCAAUAUAUAAAAUACAAUUAAACAAAAUGAUAAAGUUUAAUUAAUAUUUUAAAGAAUUUUAAUUAUGAAUCAUUCAAUCAACAAUUAAUGCACGUUUUACUGAGUUUACUUUAAUUUACUGGGUUUUUGGCUAACAUGUUUUAGACUGGGUUAGUGACUAUGUGUUUAUAUGUGACCAUGCUUACAAGUCCCGCCGCAGAUCCGGGUUGGAUUUAAUAACAUUAACCAUAGAUUGCAAAUACUACUAAUAGAAUCUCAAUUCAUUUUUAGAUAUAUCAUAUAUUACAGAAAAUUUGUUUCUUUAGUACCAAAAUUAUCAAUUAAAAACCUAGCUAAUUCAAUAUAUGGUUGUCAUGAAAAUAUAUGGUGUACAAAUAUCAUAAAUUAUAAAUUAAACAAAAUAUUAAUAUAAUCUAGUUAAUAUGGGCAUAUGGUUAAUUUCAAACUAAUCUCUUAUUUUUAUUAUUUUCAAAUGAUUUUGAUGUAAUUAUGUAAAUUUUAGAAAAGAAUAUUUAAAUUUAAAACUUGGAACUUAAAUUUUAGAUUGAUAUAUGUGUGUAUAUAUAUUAAUUUGUUGAUUAAAUAAUAAAAGUAUAAAAUAUCAAAACACUAGUUUAUAAAGACUUUGUUGUAUUCUUAUAGCGUACCAUCAAGAUUGCUUUGAUAUGAUUUCUUGUGAGGUUGUCAGUUCCAACAACAGUUCCUUCCUUCUCAAACCUCAAGAGCAUGUCCACAAAAUCUUCACGCCCUUGUCUAUCUCCCUCUUUAUGCAGAUCAAACAACUGUUCAUAGAACGCAUCCAAAUCUCGCACGCUUUUCUCUCUCAUCUUUUGUAAACCCGUGAACUGGUCGAUGAUCCAACCAACGUGCG
Molecule: long non-coding RNA, 1562 nt
Filed under: Brassica rapa (field mustard)
Lineage: Eukaryota; Viridiplantae; Streptophyta; Magnoliopsida; Brassicales; Brassicaceae
Description: long non-coding RNA (BRAP_LNC006258)
Source: RNAcentral